UGUGUAGGUUGGUAUAUAAGAUAGUGGUGAAAUACCUGAGCUCAACUUAGGAAUUGCCGUUAUAACUAUGUACCUAGAAUUGUGUAGAGGAUAGCGGAAUACCCAGUGUAGAGGUGAAAUUCGUAGAUAUUGGGUAGAACACCGGUGGCGAAGGCGGCUAUCUGGGCACAUAUUGACACUGAGGCACGAAAGUAUGGGGAUCAAACA
This 207-nucleotide ribosomal RNA is filed under the name uncultured bacterium. RNAcentral describes it as "partial 16S ribosomal RNA". It matches the Rfam family "Bacterial small subunit ribosomal RNA", at positions 568 to 774 of the family's 1533-position model. The record is from RNAcentral.